RNAcentral lists this microRNA precursor (296 nucleotides) under Amborella trichopoda. RNAcentral describes it as "miR8566 stem-loop (atr-MIR8566)". Lineage: Eukaryota; Viridiplantae; Streptophyta; Magnoliopsida; Amborellales; Amborellaceae. The record is from miRBase by way of RNAcentral.
UCAACAUCUCCACUAUGUCCAUUCAGCUCUAAUUCCAUGAACAACAUCUUCUUUAAUCUCUAAUUUCUCAUGGAUUAUCGACCCAAGGUAUAAAAAAUAAUCUCUUCCAAGAAGUACCAAAAAGAUAUGGGGACUUAUGGCCUCAUUGUGGGUAUGGUCUUUAAUAAAGCAGACCAAGAUUUGUGUAGCUGACCCAAUUAAUUAGGAAAAGGCUAUGAUGAUGAUGAUGAUGAUGAUUGGUUUGAUGAAGAUGUUGCCAAUAGAAUUAGAGCUGGGUGGAUGAAGUGGAGAUGUGA